Molecule: long non-coding RNA, 635 nt
Organism: Nematostella vectensis (starlet sea anemone)
Lineage: Eukaryota; Metazoa; Cnidaria; Anthozoa; Actiniaria; Edwardsiidae
Exons: 2
Source: RefSeq, a predicted model, not a curated record
UACAACCGAAAUUCUUUUUUUUCUCUCUGAGCAAUGCUAUAUUUUCACACAUUCAUAAUUAAUAACACAUUCAAAGCUGGAAAUUACUGCCCGUCAUCAGACACAUAUGAUCAAAAUUGCCAAAUGCCCACCUGCCAAUCAGAUAUUGUCCAGCAAAUUGUGUGACAUGCUCAAACUUCCAUGUAUGUUCUUGGCCAGUAUAUAACAAAAUAUUUCAUACAAAACUUUGGAAGCAGGUAGUUUUUUUUUUCUUUGAAGGGGGGGGGGGGGGGUAUAAAACCUGGAGCUCCUUCAGACCCUCCUACCAAUCAUCUUUCUACUAUCUUUUUCUUCCAGACCAUAUUCACCAGAUUUGAACCCAAUAGAAGGAUGCUUUGGUACUGCAAAGAAAUGGAUGCUCAGGCACAGGCAUAUGGCAGAAAGAUACCCCAAAAGAUGUUUUGAAAUGGCACUGUUUAAUCUUUCCUCCGAAGUUUGCAGAAACUAUGUCCUUGACUGUGGAUACGUUUAGCGUGCAUAGAACUCAACAAGAAAUGUAAACUACCCUUUUAUAAUAUGUAUAAUGUUGUAUUAUGUAUGAUUGCGUGACGUUGUAUGACGUCAUGGUUUUGAGAUAAUAAAGUCACUUAGCACUU